This 268-nucleotide ribosomal RNA is filed under the name uncultured bacterium. RNAcentral's name for it is "partial 16S ribosomal RNA". It matches the Rfam family "Bacterial small subunit ribosomal RNA", at positions 28 to 297 of the family's 1533-position model. The record is from RNAcentral.
GACGAACGCUGGCGGCGUGCUUAACACAUGCAAGUCGAGCGGUAAGGCCCUUUCGGGGUACGACGAGCGGCGAACGGGUGAGUAACACGUGGGUGACCUGCCCUCAGCUCUGGGAUAAGCCUGGGAAACCGGUCUAAUACUGGAUAUGACUCCAUGACGCAUGUUGUGGGGUGAAAGCCUUGUGCGGCUGAGGAUGGGGCCCGCGGCCUAUCAGCUUGGUUGGUGGGGUGANGGCCUACCAAGGCGACGACGGGUAGCCGGCCUGAGA